RNAcentral lists this ribosomal RNA (511 nucleotides) under uncultured bacterium. RNAcentral describes it as "bacterial SSU rRNA". It matches the Rfam family "Bacterial small subunit ribosomal RNA", at positions 34 to 518 of the family's 1533-position model. The record is from RNAcentral.
CGCUGGCGGCGUGCCUAAUACAUGCAAGUCGAACGGCUUUUCUAUGGAAGCUUGCUUCCACUGAGAAGAUAGUGGCGAACGGGUGAGUAACACGUGGGUAACCUGCCCAUAAGAGGGGGAUAACAUCCGGAAACGGGUGCUAAUACCGCAUAGUUUUCUUGAUCGCAUGAUUGAGAAAGGAAAGACGGCCUUUGUGCUGUCGCUUAUGGAUGGACCCGCGGCGUAUUAGUUAGUUGGUGAGGUAACGGCUCACCAAGACGAUGAUACGUAGCCGACCUGAGAGGGUGAUCGGCCACAUUGGGACUGAGACACGGCCCAAACUCCUACGGGAGGCAGCAGUAGGGAAUCUUCCGCAAUGGACGAAAGUCUGACGGAGCAACGCCGCGUGAGUGAAGAAAGGUUUUCGGAUCGUAAAACUCUGUUGUCAGAGAAGAACAAGUUGGAGAGUAACUGCUCCAGCCUUGACGGUAUCUGACCAGAAAGCCACGGCUAACUACGUGCCAGCAGCCGC